RNAcentral lists this long non-coding RNA (1962 nucleotides) under Nicotiana tabacum (common tobacco). RNAcentral's name for it is "long non-coding RNA (NTAB_LNC003060)". The record is from RNAcentral. Lineage: Eukaryota; Viridiplantae; Streptophyta; Magnoliopsida; Solanales; Solanaceae.
AUAUAACAGUUGUAAAGCAUAAAUUGAGCAGUAAAUGGGGGAACGAGGUUGUAAUACUCAAAACGACCAGACGGGUCGUUACAGCCUCAUUAGGAAACAUGACUGUCAAUAGCAAAAUGACCAGUUUGUGAGUGAUUUCAGCCUAAGUUUCAGCUAAGUAGCCAAUCAAAGAGCAACAGGUAACAACGGAGAAAUAUAGGUAAUCGGAUUUUGGCAAACAAACAAAGUCAUGAAGAAAAUCAAACAAAUAUUACAGCAAUGAUUCAAAUUUUAUUAUAAAACAACAACAAAUCAACAUUUUUUGAAGAAUCGGAGACUUGAAUUCAUGAUUCAGUAUUUGUGUGCAGAAAACAGCUUAGAAAAUGCCAAAUAAAUGCUGAGUGAAAGAAAUUUGAAGCUCCGCAAACAGCUCCAGUAACAAUCAGCAGUGAACAACACUUUCAGGCACAAAAUAUUCUUCAAAAUCCCAGAAGAUAUGAUGUAACGAUCAAAAAUAGAAAGCAACUUUUGAAUCUCUUUUUUGGGGGUGGUUUUUGUUUAAUUUUCUGGAGUUUUGUUCUUCAGAUUUGAAAAUUUGUUCUCAAAUUUCAGACCUCUUUCCAAACAUGAGAGAGAGAGAGAGAGAGAGUGAGCCUGUGAAUGCUUGUGAGUGUAGAAUGUGUAUCUGAGAUAUGCAAAAAUGAGAGAAUUUAUAGAAAAUAUCAGACCUCAAUUUGGGAAAAAAAACAUCUUUUGUAAUAGAGUUUUUAUAGUUGUACCUUCUGUUAUUUCUCUUUCCUUAUUAGUCCUUUUCUUUUCUGUAUUUACUCCUUUCAUCCCCAAAUCCCACGACCUUCCUCUUUUCUUUACCAUUUUAUUGCUAUUUGAUCACUUUCCACACUCUUGUAGAACUUUCCAGUCAGUUAUAUGAAAUAUGCUCUCAAUUUAAUCUCCUAAAUGCCCUUUUAAACUCUAGCUAUUUACCUAAGGACCUAAUUUCAUAGACCUGGGGUCAUGUGACCUUAGAUCAAAGGCCCAUAGACUUCAAUUGAACUCCCAUUCCCUAUUACCCCAACUUCAAUUUAAUGGGCCUAACCAAAUCAAACAAAAUUAGGCCCAUACCUAAACUAAAAUAAAGCGGACAGACUGAACCAAUACUCAUAUUAAUGAAAUCAGCAAACAUUAAUUAAUAAUCAAAUAAAUUCUAAGACCUAAUUCGAACAUGUAAUCAACUUCAAUCUAAAUAGGCAAUAUCAGAUUCAUGAGCUAAUCAAGCAAUCAAUCAUCAUUUUAAAUUAAUUGAUAGUUAACAACAAAUCAUUAUCUAUUAUUUACCUAAACAUUUUGAGGAAAAAGGAAUUACCUCUUGAACGAAUCCUAGCCGAAGCACAAAUUCCGGCCGGCAAUGGUCAGUGCCCCGUGGCCACAGGUUUGAGCUUAGAAGCUCAUCCUGUGAUGCAUGGAACACUGUCCAUCGCAAGUCGGAAGAAGACGGUGAAGCUGAGUGGUGAUUGGGGUGGUCAACAGUUCUUGACCGUUCACCGAUGAUCGCGAACUAUCAUAAAACUGCCAUGAAAUGACAGUACUCAAUACGAUGAGUAGAUUGGUGUAAGUUUUGAUAUCAAAAUGAGCAAAUAUUGGAAAGAAAUUUAUAGAGGGAUGGAUUAGAGUUUUCUGAGGAUGCCCAGAUCUGAAAUCCGCAGAGUUUUGGUUGUUUACUUGGGAAAUUGAUUGGAGAUUAGGAAUGAGGAGGGCGUGGAGAUUUUGUGGUUAAUAUUUGAGGGCAUUUGGUGGUGGGCCUCCGCCGUGGGACGAUUUCUGGCUGCGGCGAGGCGGAGGGUGAGAGAUGAUGAGGGAGAGGGUUUGAGAAUGUGUUUGGGGGGUAUGGGGUUCGAUCUCUCAAACAGUUAUAUGUGAUAUGGGUGCUUAGUUCCCAUCUGUUGGAUAAGAUGAGAUGAAUGGCCAGGAUUGACUGUGACAAAA